AUUGGACGCUGGCGGCAUGGCUAAUGCAUGACAAGUCCGAAACGAAACGCCCGUUCGGGGACGAAAGUGGACGAAAGGGCGAGUAAUACGAUCGAACCGUACCCAAGGUGGAGGAUAGUGUACGGAAACUGACGGUAAUACUCCAUGUGCUCGUUCGGAAGGAAAGUCGUUUGGCGCCGUCGGGAGCGGCGAUCGUCCCUAUCAGGUAGUUGGUGAGGUAAUGGCUCACCAAGCCGAAGACGGGUAGCGGGUGUGAGAGCAUGACCCGCCGCAUCGGGACUGAGACACUGCCCGGACUCCUACGGGAGGCUGCAGCGACGAAUCUUCCGCAAUGGGCGCAAGCCUGACGGAGCAAUGCCGCGUGUGGGACGAAGCGUCUUCGACGUGUAAACCACUGUCAGAAUCUAGGAACACUGACCAGAUUCAAAGGAAGGGCCGGCUAACCUCGUG
RNAcentral lists this ribosomal RNA (450 nucleotides) under uncultured bacterium. RNAcentral describes it as "bacterial SSU rRNA". It matches the Rfam family "Bacterial small subunit ribosomal RNA", at positions 29 to 507 of the family's 1533-position model. The record is from RNAcentral.